This 640-nucleotide ribosomal RNA is filed under the name uncultured bacterium. Its description in RNAcentral is "bacterial SSU rRNA". It matches the Rfam family "Bacterial small subunit ribosomal RNA", at positions 188 to 845 of the family's 1533-position model. The record is from RNAcentral.
GCAUCGACCAGAGGGAAAAGGAGCAAUCCGCUUUGAGAUGGCCUCGCGUCCGAUUAGCUAGUUGGUGAGGUAAUGGCCCACCAAGGCGACGAUCGGUAGCCGGACUGAGAGGUUGAACGGCCACAUUGGGACUGAGACACGGCCCAGACUCCUACGGGAGGCAGCAGUGGGGAAUAUUGCACAAUGGGGGAAACCCUGAUGCAGCGACGCCGCGUGGAGGAAGAAGGUCUUCGGAUUGUAAACUCCUGUUGUUGAGGAAGAUAAUGACGGUACUCAACAAGGAAGUGACGGCUAACUACGUGCCAGCAGCCGCGGUAAAACGUAGGUCACAAGCGUUGUCCGGAAUUACUGGGUGUAAAGGGAGCGCAGGCGGGAAGACAAGUUGGAAGUGAAAUCUAUGGGCUCAACCCAUAAACUGCUUUCAAAACUGUUUUUCUUGAGUAGUGCAGAGGUAGGCGGGAUUCCCGGUGUAGCGGUGGAAUGCGUAGAUAUCGGGAGGAACACCGGUGGCGAAGGCGGCCUACUGGGCACCAACUGACGCUGAGGCUCGAAAGUGUGGGUAGCAAACAGGAUUAGAUACCCUGGUAGUCCACACCGUAAACGAUGAUUACUAGGUGUUGGAGGAUUGACCCCUUCAGUG